Molecule: non-coding RNA, 75 nt
Organism: Ictidomys tridecemlineatus (thirteen-lined ground squirrel)
Lineage: Eukaryota; Metazoa; Chordata; Mammalia; Rodentia; Sciuridae
Source: Rfam
GGGGGUGUAGCUCAGUGGUUGAGCGCCUGCCUAGCAUGUGCCCUGGGGCCCUGGGUCUGAUCCCCAACACCACCA